UACUAUGGCCACGGCACCCUGAACGUGUCCGAUCCCGUCUGAUCUCGGAAGCUAAGCAGGGUCAGGCCUUGGAUGGGAGACCACCUAGGAAAACCAGGUGCUGUAGGCG
Molecule: ribosomal RNA, 109 nt
Filed under: Pteropus alecto (black flying fox)
Lineage: Eukaryota; Metazoa; Chordata; Mammalia; Chiroptera; Pteropodidae
Source: RNAcentral